UACGUAGGGGGCAAGCGUUGUCCGGAUUUAUUGGGCGUAAAGAGCGUGUAGGCGGCCUUACAGGUCAGCUGUGAAAACUCGAGGCUCAACCUCGAGACGUCGGUUGAAACCGUAUGGCUAGAGUACGGAAGAGGCAAGUGGAAUUCCUGGUGUAGCGGUGGAAUGCGCAGAUAUCAGGAGGAACACCUAUAGCGAAGGCAGCUUGCUGGGACGUUACUGACGCUAAGGCGCGAAAGCGUGGGGAGCGAACAGG
Molecule: ribosomal RNA, 253 nt
Filed under: uncultured bacterium
Lineage: Bacteria
Description: partial 16S ribosomal RNA
Rfam family: Bacterial small subunit ribosomal RNA
Source: RNAcentral